CCUACGGGUGGCAGCAGUGGGGAAUAUUGCACAAUGGGCGCAAGCCUGAUGCAGCGACGCCGCGUGCGGGAUGGAGGCCUUCGGGUUGUAAACCGCUUUUGUUCAAGGGCAAGGCACGGUCUUUGGCCGUGUUGAGUGGAUUGUUCGAAUAAGCACCGGCUAACUACGUGCCAGCAGCCGCGGUAAUACGUAGGGUGCAAGUGUUAUCCGGAUGUAUUGGGCGUAAAGGGCUCGUAGGCGGUUCGUCGCGUCCGGGGUGAAAGUCCAGCGCCUAACGGGGGAUCCGCGCCGGGUACGGGCGGGCGUGAGUGCGGUAGGGGGGACGGGAAGUGCCGGUGUAACGGUGGAAUGUGUAGAGAUCGGGAAGAACACCAAUGGCGAAGGCAGGUCUCUGGGCCGUUACUGACGCUGAGGAGCGAAAGCGUGGGGAGCGAACAGGAUUAGAUACCCUAGUAGUC
RNAcentral lists this ribosomal RNA (458 nucleotides) under uncultured bacterium. RNAcentral describes it as "partial 16S ribosomal RNA". It matches the Rfam family "Bacterial small subunit ribosomal RNA", at positions 338 to 795 of the family's 1533-position model. The record is from RNAcentral.